GUCCUAUUGAUUAAUUUAUAUUAGGUUUUACCUGCUCAAUGAUAAUUAAAUUAUUAAAUAGCCGCAGUAUAUUGACUGUGCAAAGGUAGCAUAAUCAUUUGUCUUUUAAUUGAGGACUUGUAUGAAUGGUUUGAUGAGAUAUUGACUUUCUUUAUAUAAAAUUAAAAAAAUUAAUUUUUUAGUUAAAAGGCUAAAAUAAUUUUAAGGGACGAGAAGACCCUAUAGAAUUUUAUACUUUUUAAAUUUAUAAUGUUUCUGGUUAUUUUUAAGUUUUAUUUUUAUAAGUAUUUUGUUGGGGUGACAGGGAAAUUUCUUAAACUUUCUUUAUUUAUACAUUAUUAAUGAAUAAAUUUUUGAUCCUAUUUUAAGGAUUUUAAGAUUAAAUUACCUUAGGGAUAACAGCGUAAUUUCUUUGGAGAGUUCUUAUCGAUAAAGGAGUUUGCGACCUCGAUGUUGGAUUAAAAUUAGUUUUAGGUGUAGAAGCUUAAUUACUAGGUCUGUUCGACCUUUAAAAUUUUACA
Molecule: ribosomal RNA, 521 nt
Filed under: Sastragala scutellata
Lineage: Eukaryota; Metazoa; Arthropoda; Insecta; Hemiptera; Acanthosomatidae
Description: partial 16S rRNA
Rfam family: Bacterial large subunit ribosomal RNA (bases 395-521)
Source: RNAcentral